ACGGGUCUUCUCACAUGUGAUCUUCGUAGAUUGCAGUCGAGUCUUCCAUACAACCAGAACGCUGAUCUACUCACCGUUUCGAGUAUCAGAGGAUGGGUCGAAAACACAGGUUAAUUUGGAAGUGAGUCCUAAUUUAUAAGGUUCAAGAGAAACGUAAUGAAUGGAUCAGUCGCAACCCUCCCCGUGACAUAACUCGAGAUCGACGAUGUUUGUGCAGUAGCGGAAACAAAUAAGUAGAAUUAGAUAACGACUCUAAUAGCUCCUUGAGCAGGUGCUAUUCUUCUGGGCGAACACUCCGCUAAGAGGAAACAAGAAGGUAAUUCUUCUCCUUUCUCUCUCGCACCAACUUUAGGUUUCAGAUUAAUUCGGGAGAUUUGCUGUGGGAAUUGUUAAUAAGUGCAGGUCAUGUUGGUAAGUUGGGCACUUUGGUUAUACGUAGAAGAAGUGGUCUUCAGUUGACAGUAUGCUCCUCUGUUUGUUUUUGGAUUUCAUCAAUUAAUGUCUAUGUUCCCAAAGAUAGGGUGACAAAAUCUUCGUUAAGACAAUUAAGGUUCUUAACAUGAUUAAGCUCCAUGGAAAGCCUAUAUGUGUUAACAAGUAGGCAUCUCAAGAUAAGAAGAUCAUCGAUGUUGGUGCUAACCUUUGGAAACAGUUAAAACGAUGGUUUAUAUUUACGCUUCUGCCAAAGGAUGCACAUUAGAAAAUCUUCUAAGAGAGAUGGAACAAAAUGGUUGUGGAUUUUGAGCCCUGCCAAUCGGGUUGUUCUUGAUAAGUCCGAAAUCUCCAAGAAGCGUAAAGAUUUCCCUGUCGGAGUUGGUCAUGUUUAUUUUGAUGCCAAGGGCCAAUAACUGCGGAUUUUAACAGAGUUCAACAAGUGAUCAUUCGACAGCAACUACUACGUUGAGAGAGCAGCACGGGGAUGGUAGUAGUGAAAAGACAAGUUUAAGCCAAGAUAGUAAAGAAAACAGUAAAGCUCGAGGAGGAGACAUCAGGAAAGUAAUAUCACAAGUUUAUUAAACUAACUGAUCUCACUCUCAAUACGCCAGAGAUACCAGCUAUGAAUGAGUGUUUUGUGGAGCUGGUUGCAGCAAGAGUCAUCGUAGAUUCUGUAAUCAGCGGAUGAUAGCAAAACGUGGUCGGAUUUCAAAAGAAGUUAUAUGAAAAAGGAUCUAUAGCAAAGUCGGAUGAAUGCUUCAAUCUGACCAACGUUGAUUCUCCACCUUACUAUCUUUUGCUCAUUAACUUUUCUUUUAAGAAUGCGUCACAAUUGGCUUCGAUUAGUUAUGAUGUGUUAUUGUAAAAGGAUCUAGCCAAAUGAGGAGGAAGAGCCUCACCUUUAAUUGCCAUGGAACGUAGAGAUUUGCUGCAACCAUAAAAGCUGGAUUUAGUCCACCGUUUGGUCUGGUUUGCACCUGCUUUGAGCUUUUUAGAUGCUGCUGCUGCAACUACUCUGGUGACGAACAUGCCUGGUGCUGUCAGCAAAACUCUGAAGCCAUGUCCUAUGCUGACGAGAAGUGUCCCAGUAAACACCAUAUGAGUUAGCGAUGAUCCUGUAAUUGCAGAAAGUCCGCAAGUCCAUCACCACAAUCUCCUCUAACUGAUGCAGACGCUAGCCCCCGCUGGUUAAACUUCUACAUCUAAGAAGGUCCGUCACACCUAAGGGAUCCAUCCAGCGAGUUUAAGUGCUGGGAACAAACUCGAAUCUUCUGCCUCCAACGAACAAAAUACUAACCAAGGAGAGAGAGCCCUCAAACUGCUUUUCAGACUGGCUAAAAAAAUAAUAUCAUAAGAAACACGUUGCUGAAGAUUCAAACCAAAAAACAGGAAAAAAAUAAUGCUACUAAUUUACACUAAACACUAAAUACCAGUGUUCCUAAUAAUACUGAUGAGUACAUUUCAAAAUUCGAAACAAACCCAACCACCAUUUU
This is a long non-coding RNA of Brassica oleracea var. oleracea, 1928 nucleotides long. RefSeq lists it as uncharacterized. NCBI's taxonomy places the organism in Eukaryota, Viridiplantae, Streptophyta, Magnoliopsida, Brassicales, Brassicaceae. The transcript has 7 exons. The record is from RefSeq and is a predicted model, not a curated record.